RNAcentral lists this ribosomal RNA (468 nucleotides) under uncultured bacterium. RNAcentral's name for it is "partial 16S ribosomal RNA". It matches the Rfam family "Bacterial small subunit ribosomal RNA", at positions 28 to 507 of the family's 1533-position model. The record is from RNAcentral.
GACGAACGCUGGCGGCGUGCUUAACACAUGCAAGUCGAACGGAAAGGCCCUGCUGUUGUGGGGUGCUCGAGUGGCGAACGGGUGAGUAACACGUGAGUAACCUGCCCUUGACUUUGGGAUAACUUCAGGAAACUGGGGCUAAUACCGGAUAGGAGCUCCGGCUGCAUGGUGGGGGUUGGAAAGUUUCGGCGGUUGGGGAUGGACUCGCGGCUUAUCAGCUUGUUGGUGGGGUAGUGGCUUACCAAGGCUUUGACGGGUAGCCGGCCUGAGAGGGUGACCGGCCACAUUGGGACUGAGAUAGGGACCAGACUCCUACGGGCGGCAGAAGGGGGGAAUAUUGCACAAUGGGCGGAAGCCUGAUGCAGCAACGCCGCGUGCGGGAUGACGGCCUUCGGGUUGUAAACAGAUUUCGCCUGUGACGAAGCGUGAGUGACGGUAAUGGGUAAAGAAGCACCGGCUAACUACGUG